RNAcentral lists this ribosomal RNA (525 nucleotides) under uncultured bacterium. Its description in RNAcentral is "bacterial SSU rRNA". It matches the Rfam family "Bacterial small subunit ribosomal RNA", at positions 523 to 1046 of the family's 1533-position model. The record is from RNAcentral.
AUACGAAGGGACCUAGCGUAGUUCGGAAUUACUGGGCUUAAAGAGUUCGUAGGUGGUUGAAAAAGUUGGUGGUGAAAUCCCAGAGCUUAACUCUGGAACUGCCAUCAAAACUUUUCAGCUAGAGUAUGAUAGAGGAAAGCAGAAUUUCUAGUGUAGAGGUGAAAUUCGUAGAUAUUAGAAAGAAUACCAAUUGCGAAGGCAGCUUUCUGGAUCAUUACUGACACUGAGGAACGAAAGCAUGGGUAGCGAAGAGGAUUAGAUACCCUCGUAGUCCAUGCCGUAAACGAUGUGUGUUAGACGUUGGAAAUUUAUUUUCAGUGUCGCAGCGAAAGCGAUAAACACACCGCCUGGGGAGUACGACCGCAAGGUUAAAACUCAAAUGAAUUGACGGGGACCCGCACAAGUAGUGGAGCAUGUGGUUUAAUUCGAAGAUACGCGCAGAACCUUACCAACACUUGACAUGUUCGUCGCGACUCUAAGAGAUUAGAGUUUUCGGUUCGGCCGGACGAAACACAGGUGCUGCAU